RNAcentral lists this unclassified non-coding RNA (202 nucleotides) under uncultured Sebacinaceae. Its description in RNAcentral is "sequence contains ITS2". Lineage: Eukaryota; Fungi; Basidiomycota; Agaricomycetes; Sebacinales; Sebacinaceae. The record is from RNAcentral.
GUACUCUCACACUCCCAAUCCCUUGGAUUGGGAGCGGUGGACUUGGGUGUUGCAGCUUGACUGAGGCUCACCUGAAAUAUGUUAGUGCAUCUCUUGAUUGAACAUAGUACGGCGUGAUAAGUGUCUUCGCCGGCUCCUCGCAAAGAGGGUGGUCGAUCGGGAGCUCUGUGCUUCUUAAACUGUCUUCGGACAAUAUCUGACA